UCCGCCGACGAUUGACAGAAUAUUCUCAGUACGUAACAGCGAAUAUACCUAUCUGCGGUCCGUGGAAUCUUUGACACUUCGCGAGCCAGCGAGUUCCGUUUGCUGCCGUUUCUCGCGCCGCAAUAUUGGGGAUGCAUUUCACUCCAACGGCUAGCAUUAAAUAAUUACUGCGUGAGAGUGCAAAGGCCGGAGCACAGAUCUUUGAGUCCUGAAAUAUAAUAGGUGUAAUGCGUAAAAGUGUGUUUGGAAGUAUAGACUUUCCACAAGACUCUAGAUGGAAAUUCAAAUUUGCAGUAUAUUUAGCGAAAAGAUGCAAAGGAUCGGCGAGGUGCCAGACAUCCUCGACGCGAAUAAUGCGCAGGAGGUGUUGAAGUAGGAAUGCUAAGUUAAAUAUACGCGUAGGACGUGGAGGUACGCGAUAAUGUUCCGCUAAUGAUGACAGUAACCCAUGUUGACUUAACCCGUUGCCGUGAUGGACGUUGUAGUAUAUUAGGAACAGCAUUUAUGACAGAUAUGUCACGCGAAAAUGUCAACCGUUCGUAGCAGAAGAUUGCGUUCGGUGAAGUAUAGCUUUUGCAAAAUAAACGUGCCUGUAUCACAGCCUUUGCAAUGGA
Acromyrmex echinatior (Panamanian leafcutter ant) is the source of this 614-nucleotide long non-coding RNA. The record is from RefSeq and is a predicted model, not a curated record. NCBI's taxonomy places the organism in Eukaryota, Metazoa, Arthropoda, Insecta, Hymenoptera, Formicidae.